CUCAAUGGUGGCUGUGUGCAUGGCACCUUCGGGUGCGCCGGAUUCCGAGAGCUUACCGGUCUGCUACUUGCGCACAGCCGCCACCCUU
This 88-nucleotide non-coding RNA is filed under the name Pseudomonas sp. LAIL14HWK12:I2. The record is from RNAcentral. Lineage: Bacteria; Pseudomonadati; Pseudomonadota; Gammaproteobacteria; Pseudomonadales; Pseudomonadaceae. RNAcentral also lists the same sequence under 1 other name.